This 497-nucleotide ribosomal RNA is filed under the name uncultured bacterium. RNAcentral describes it as "partial 16S ribosomal RNA". It matches the Rfam family "Bacterial small subunit ribosomal RNA", at positions 28 to 507 of the family's 1533-position model. The record is from RNAcentral.
GAUGAACGCUGGCGGCGUGCCUAAUACAUGCAAGUCGAGCGAACAGACGAGGAGCUUGCUCCUCUGACGUUAGCGGCGGACGGGUGAGUAACACGUGGAUAACCUACCUAUAAGACUGGGAUAACUUCGGGAAACCGGAGCUAAUACCGGAUAAUAUAUUGAACCGCAUGGUGCAAUAGUGAAAGACGGUUUUGCUGUCACUUAUAGAUGGAUCCGCGCCGCAUUAGCUAGUUGGUAAGGUAACGGCUUACCAAGGCAACGAUGCGUAGCCGACCUGAGAGGGUGAUCGGCCACCCUGGAACUGAGCCACGGUCCAGACUCCUACGGGAGGCAGCAGUAGGGAAUCUUCCGCAAUGGGCGAAAGCUUGACGGAGCAACGCCGCGUGAGUGAUGAAGGUCUUCGGAUCGUAAAACUCUGUUAUUAGGGAAGAACAAAUGUGUAAGUAACUAUGCACGUCUUGACGGUACCUAAUCAGAAAGCCACGGCUAACUACGUG